Molecule: small nuclear RNA, 119 nt
Filed under: Macleaya cordata
Lineage: Eukaryota; Viridiplantae; Streptophyta; Magnoliopsida; Ranunculales; Papaveraceae
Description: U5 spliceosomal RNA
Rfam family: U5 spliceosomal RNA
About the family: U5 RNA is a component of both types of known spliceosome.
Source: Rfam by way of RNAcentral
GGUCGUGCGGUGAGCACAUAGCAAACUAUUCUUUCGCCUUUUACUAAAGAAUACCGUGUGCUCAUAGCAUUCAGCGGCAUACACCUAUUUUUGUAGAGGAUCCCCUUUACUAGGGAGUU